Sesamum indicum (sesame) is the source of this 1623-nucleotide non-coding RNA. The record is from RefSeq and is a predicted model, not a curated record. NCBI's taxonomy places the organism in Eukaryota, Viridiplantae, Streptophyta, Magnoliopsida, Lamiales, Pedaliaceae.
AAAACUCAAGAUUGCACUACACAAUGAUACCACCGUGGUUGAGGAUAAGGCAUUCAGAUUAACUCCAUCCACUUUAUUGAGUGUGGGUUGCCUUAUAUAUGUUUCUCUCUAAUAUAUGAACGUGACUUAUUGAUACAUACCCUUGGUAGUAAUUGAUUUCUUACACGACAUUAGACUGACAUUAACACAGUGUGCUAACCUAGUGUGGUUGUCACUGACUGAAUAUGCUUGGUUUUGUUCUUAAUUCUCAAGUUAUUGAUGGUUUAGAUUUAUAACAAACUUCCAUUCAAAAUACGAGAGGUUUGACUGGUUGCAAUGGAGUGUAAGAGCAUCACUUCCUGACUGGUUAAUGCAUAUCUCUACCGGUCGCUAAUGCAGAGGAUCCGGAAAAGAUCAAGUCUGAAGCUAAGAAAAAAAGUGGAUGCCAUAUGCAUCUCUGCUUUAACUGGUGAAGGGUUAGAUGAUUUCUCUGUAAUGCAGUUCAGGAAGAACUAAAGGAAUACAUCAAAGGAUGGAGCUUUGGUUAGAGCUCAUGUUCCACUCCGCUUUGCAAGGCUUCUCACUCCAAAGAGACAAACUUGAGUGUCAUAGCUGUUUCCAGGGCUUCUUCCAAGUUGUUCAAAAAGGUUUGAGCGUUUGAAGAAGGCACGAUUUUUUCUGGCCUUGCUGUGAUUGAUGCUUACAGCUACAGAGACAAGUGGCCAUGAAUGGCUUUGAUGCCGAAACUUUUUGGCUCCACUUGUUAACAUAUGGAGCUAUAUGAGCAAGAUGCUGAUGUUGUCAAUUACACAAUCCAGAGUAAAACUACUGCUUGAAGGUAAUGGAAAACCAUGUAUAUCUUCAUUUUGAUUAGUGACUCUUCGUCUACUUGAGGAGCAGAAAGUAACAUUAUGUUUGCUGAUCAAUUUGCCAACUUGAUCUCUUAAUGCAUAUAUGUGAUCCACUGCUAGCUGACCGCCAUCCUUCCACUCUCUCUUACUCUUAUUUGAACUUGAGUUUAAGUAUCUUAAUAUUCUCUUGGGACUGUGAUGGAACAUCUUCAUAUGUGAUCCGCUGAAAGCUCAGUGCCACCAUCCAUCUCUUACUCUUAAUUUAACUCGACUUUUAGUAUCUUAAUGUUCUCUUGGGACUGUGAUGAAACUUCCUAAACCAAUUAAUGGACCAGCAGGAUAUUUUCUCUCAAGUGCCAUCUAGAAAGGUAUAUUCUUGGUUAUGCAGUAUCUGUUUUUAUGCUUCAAAUUAGAGCAUGCCGCAAUGACAUUUGUGUUGUUUUCUUUUGUGCCUUACUUCAUUAUUAUGUAUUAAUGCAAAGGAUAGAUGUCAUACGAUUUAUAGUCUCUUAUAGAAGUGUUGUUACUGGUAAUUUAGGAGGAAUUCUUUUAUUUGCAAGUUUUGUUGUUGAUAUAUCAUUUUUCAGUAAUACUUGUAACAUGCGUUUAUUUGAUUCUACAAGUGAAGCAUGUCACUUGGUAUAUGUGAUUCAUACUUGUCCUUUACAAGAGCGAGGGCUAGAGUUUGAAUUUGGUUUGCUAAUUUCGUGCAAAGUAGAUAACCUCAUAUCGAUAAGGAUUGUGUGGGAAUCAAAAGUUUAAGUAGGAUUUAAAUGCUCAAUUAAAACAUAUG